This 353-nucleotide unclassified non-coding RNA is filed under the name soil metagenome. RNAcentral describes it as "partial contains 5.8S ribosomal RNA, internal transcribed spacer 2, and large subunit ribosomal RNA". The stretch from base 1 to 120 matches the Rfam family "5.8S ribosomal RNA", at positions 35 to 154 of the family's 154-position model. The record is from RNAcentral.
GAUGAAGAACGUAGCGAAAUGAGAUAAGUAAUGUGAAUUGCAGAAUUCAGUGAAUCAUCGAAUCUUUGAACGCACAUUGCGCCCGCCAGUAUUCUGGCGGGCAUGCCUGUUCGAGCGUCAUUACAACCCUCAGGCCCCCGGGCCUGGCGUUGGGGAUCGGCGGAAGCCCCCUGCGGGCACAACGCCGUCCCCCAAAUACAGUGGCGGUCCCGCCGCAGCUUCCAUUGCGUAGUAGCUAACACCUCGCAACUGGAGAGCGGCGCGGCCACGCCGUAAAACACCCAACUUCUGAAUGUUGACCUCGAAUCAGGGAGGAAUACCCGCUGAACUUAAGCAUAUCAAUAAGCGGAGGA